Molecule: ribosomal RNA, 429 nt
Filed under: Chloroflexota bacterium
Lineage: Bacteria; Bacillati; Chloroflexota
Description: Chloroflexi bacterium partial 16S ribosomal RNA
Rfam family: Bacterial small subunit ribosomal RNA
Source: RNAcentral
UAGGGAAUCUUCGGCAAUGGACGAAAGUCUGACCGAGCAACGCCGCGUGAGUGAAGAAGGUUUUCGGAUCGUAAAACUCUGUUGUUAGAGAAGAACAAGGACGUUAGUAACUGAACGUCCCCUGACGGUAUCUAACCAGAAAGCCACGGCUAACUACGUGCCAGCAGCCGCGGUAAUACGUAGGUGGCAAGCGUUGUCCGGAUUUAUUGGGCGUAAAGCGAGCGCAGGCGGUUUCUUAAGUCUGAUGUGAAAGCCCCCGGCUCAACCGGGGAGGGUCAUUGGAAACUGGGAGACUUGAGUGCAGAAGAGGAGAGUGGAAUUCCAUGUGUAGCGGUGAAAUGCGUAGAGAUCUGGAGGAAUACCGGUGGCGAAGGCGGCCCCCUGGACAAUGACUGACGCUCAGGUGCGAAAGCGUGGGGAGCAAACAGG